GACUAUCAGAUCCACCCCUGGUAGCAUUGUCAGAGCUGACUCCCCUAUGUGCACGGGAAUGCUCAUCAGCACUGCCUACUGCACCCCCAAGUCUGGGCAUACUGGAGUAUUGCUUUAAUAUUAAUCUUACAUGCAGUUUGGAAUGUAGGAUCCUUUUCUUACAGUCUCUGCGGUAUGACACCAGUUAUUUUGUGGAGUAUUUCGCACUGGAUCUUCUGAUGGAAAAUGGGGAGUGCCGUGGUGUCAUUGCACUGUGCAUAGAAGAUGGGUCCAUACACCGAAUAAGAGCAAAGAACACUAUUAUUGCUACUGGGUAGGAGUUUACUGUAUUUAAUUUUUUAUAUAAAAGUUGAGUGUCGGCAUGGGGGCAGAGUGUUUGGGGUUUUUGUUUUUUGUUUUUGUUUUGUUUUUUUGUUGUUGUUGUUAAAUAAAAUAAAAUGGUUCAGAGCAAUGG
RNAcentral lists this long non-coding RNA (454 nucleotides) under Rattus norvegicus (Norway rat). Its description in RNAcentral is "long non-coding RNA NONRATT000123". The record is from RNAcentral. Lineage: Eukaryota; Metazoa; Chordata; Mammalia; Rodentia; Muridae.